GGGCUCAUGGUCUAGUGGUUAUGACGUCUCCCUCACACGGAGGAGGUCGCCGGUUCGAAUCCGGCUGAGCCCA
RNAcentral lists this transfer RNA (73 nucleotides) under Methanobacteriota archaeon. RNAcentral describes it as "Euryarchaeota archaeon (anaerobic digester metagenome) tRNA-Val". It matches the Rfam family "tRNA". From Rfam's summary of the family: Transfer RNA (tRNA) molecules are approximately 80 nucleotides in length. Their secondary structure includes four short double-helical elements and three loops (D, anti-codon, and T loops). RNAcentral also lists the same sequence under 1 other name. The record is from RNAcentral. Lineage: Archaea; Methanobacteriati; Methanobacteriota.